This 510-nucleotide ribosomal RNA is filed under the name Drosophila torula. RNAcentral's name for it is "partial 16S ribosomal RNA". Lineage: Eukaryota; Metazoa; Arthropoda; Insecta; Diptera; Drosophilidae. The record is from RNAcentral.
AAGAAUUUAAAAGUCGAACAGACUUAAAAUUUGAACGGCUACACCCAAAAUUAUAUCUUAAUCCAACAUCGAGGUCGCAAUCUUUUUUAUCGAUAUGAACUCUCCAAAAAAAUUACGCUGUUAUCCCUAAAGUAACUUAAAUUUUUAAUCAUUAUUAAUGGAUCAAUUAUUCAUAAAUUAAUGGUUUUUAAAAUUAAAAGUUUUUUAAAUUUUAAUAUCACCCCAAUAAAAUAUUUUUAUUUAUUAUAACAAAAUUAAUCUUUAUAAUUAAAAUAAACAAAAUAUAAAGAUUUAUAGGGUCUUCUCGUCUUUUAAAUUUAUUUCAGCUUUUUAACUAAAAAAUAAAAUUCUAUAAAAAAUUUAAAUGAAACAGUUAAUAUUUCGUCCAACCAUUCAUUCCAGCCUUCAAUUAAAAGACUAAUGAUUAUGCUACCUUUGCACAGUUAAAAUACUGCGGCCAUUUAAAAUUUUCAGUGGGCAGGUUAGACUUUAAAUUUACUUCAAAAAGAC